This 200-nucleotide ribosomal RNA is filed under the name uncultured bacterium. RNAcentral's name for it is "partial 16S ribosomal RNA". It matches the Rfam family "Bacterial small subunit ribosomal RNA", at positions 8 to 219 of the family's 1533-position model. The record is from RNAcentral.
AGAGUUUGAUCAUGGCUCAGAAUAAACGCUGGCGGCGUGCCUAACACAUGCAAGUCGAGCGAGAAAACUCCUUCGGGAGUAAGUAAAGCGGCGAACGGGUGAGCAACGCGUGAGAAUCUACCCUUUAGUGAAGAAUACCCUCGAGAAAUCGAGGCUAAUACUGCAUACGUCCCUUCGGGGAGAAAGAUGGCCUCUUUGCU